GACGAACCACACGAACGUUAUUCGGAAUUACUGGGCUUAAAGGGUGCGUAGGCGGCGCGGUAAGUAGGGUGUGAAAUCCCUCGGCUCAACCGAGGAACUGCGCUCUAGACUACCGUGCUUGAGGGAGGUAGAGGUGAGCGGAACUUAGGGUGGAGCGGUGAAAUGCGUUGAUAUCCUAAGGAACACCGGUGGCGAAAGCGGCUCACUGGAUCUCUUCUGACGCUGAGGCACGAAAGCUAGGGUAGCGAACGGG
Molecule: ribosomal RNA, 253 nt
Filed under: uncultured bacterium
Lineage: Bacteria
Description: partial 16S ribosomal RNA
Rfam family: Bacterial small subunit ribosomal RNA
Source: RNAcentral